This 375-nucleotide ribosomal RNA is filed under the name Photorhabdus sp. RW14-46. RNAcentral's name for it is "partial 23S ribosomal RNA". It matches the Rfam family "Bacterial large subunit ribosomal RNA", at positions 455 to 719 of the family's 2925-position model. The record is from RNAcentral. Lineage: Bacteria; Pseudomonadati; Pseudomonadota; Gammaproteobacteria; Enterobacterales; Morganellaceae.
AUCCUCCAAGGCUAAAUACUCCUGACUGACCGAUAGUGAACCAGUACCGUGAGGGAAAGGCGAAAAGAACCCCGGCGAGGGGAGUGAAAGAGAACCUGAAACCGUGUACGUACAAGCAGUGGGAGCCCCACCACCAAAGCGUUUCGCUUUGCGUGGUGCACAAAAUGCGUAACGGCAGCACUGAUGGCGGUUGGCGGAGCGGCAGCGACGCCCAACACACAAAUCAAGCAGUGGAGCGUUUUGGGGUGGGGUGACUGCGUACCUUUUGUAUAAUGGGUCAGCGACUUAUAUUCUGUAGCAAGGUUAACCGGAUAGGGGAGCCGCAGGGAAACCGAGUCUUAACUGGGCGAAAGAGUUGCAGGGUAUAGACCCGAA